UCCGUAGGGUCCGAUCGUUAAUCGGAUUUACUGGGCGUAAAGCGUGCGCAGGCGGUCCGCUAAGACAGGUGUGAAAUCCCUGGGCUCAACCUAGGAAUUGCGCUUGUGACUGGCGGGCUAGAGUACGGUAGAGGGGGGUGGAAUUCCUGGUGUAGCAGUGAAAUGCGUCGAGAUCAGGAGGAACACCGAUGGCGAAGGCAGCCCCCUGGGCCUGUACUGACGCUCAGGCACGAAAGCGUGGGGAGAAAACAGG
This 253-nucleotide ribosomal RNA is filed under the name uncultured bacterium. Its description in RNAcentral is "partial 16S ribosomal RNA". It matches the Rfam family "Bacterial small subunit ribosomal RNA", at positions 524 to 776 of the family's 1533-position model. The record is from RNAcentral.